UGGGGAGUCGCCAAGCGGUAAGGCACCGGUCUUUGGAACCGGCAUGCGGUGGUUCGAAUCCACCCUCCCCAGCCA
This 75-nucleotide transfer RNA is filed under the name Pseudomonadota bacterium. RNAcentral's name for it is "tRNA-Gln". It matches the Rfam family "tRNA". From Rfam's summary of the family: Transfer RNA (tRNA) molecules are approximately 80 nucleotides in length. Their secondary structure includes four short double-helical elements and three loops (D, anti-codon, and T loops). RNAcentral also lists the same sequence under 1 other name. The record is from RNAcentral. Lineage: Bacteria; Pseudomonadati; Pseudomonadota.